Hydra vulgaris (swiftwater hydra) is the source of this 222-nucleotide long non-coding RNA. RefSeq lists it as uncharacterized. The record is from RefSeq and is a predicted model, not a curated record. Lineage: Eukaryota; Metazoa; Cnidaria; Hydrozoa; Anthoathecata; Hydridae.
AUUCUGUUGAGAAUCUAAAAAAAUUAGAACAUUCAAUGGGGCUUAUAUUUCAACAACUUAAAAAUUAAGAAAAUUCAAUUGGUAAGGAAAGUACACUUAUGUUUCUUUUUGUUUAAUUUUAACACACAUUUUUUGAUGUUUGUGUGCGGUUUUAUCACUCUAAAAUAAACUGUUUAAUUGAUUAGUAUAUGUUAGUUUAUGUAAAUAUAUUUUUUACCUCCA